RNAcentral lists this ribosomal RNA (253 nucleotides) under uncultured bacterium. RNAcentral describes it as "partial 16S ribosomal RNA". It matches the Rfam family "Bacterial small subunit ribosomal RNA", at positions 524 to 776 of the family's 1533-position model. The record is from RNAcentral.
UACAGAGGGUGCGAGCGUUGUCCGGAAUCACUGGGCGUAAAGGGCGCGUAGGCGGCUUGGUAAGUAGGGGGUGAAAUCUUGCGGCUCAACUGCAAGGCUGCCUCCUAAACUGCCUGGCUGGAGCACGGUAGAGGCAGAUGGAAUUCCCGGUGUAGCGGUGGAAUGCGUAGAUAUCAAGAGGAACACCUGAGGUGAAGACGGGUUGCUGGGCCGACACUGACGCUGAUGCGCGAAAGCCAGGGGAGCAAACGGG